GUCGAGAAUCUUUCACAAUGGGGGCAACCCUGAUGGAGCGACGCCGCGUGGGGGAUAAGGUCUUCGGAUUGUAAACUCCUGUCAUGCGUGAACAAGGUUGCUUGGUUAAUACCUGGGCAAAUUGAUGGUAACGCAAGAGGAAGAGACGGCUAACUCUGUGCCAGCAGCCGCGGUAAUACAGAGGUCUCAAGCGUUGUUCGGAAUCACUGGGCGUAAAGGGUGCGUAGGUGGCGUGGUAAGUCAGAUGUGAAAGCCCGGGGCUCAACCUCGGAACUGCAUCCGAUACUGCCAUGCUAGAGUACUGGAGAGGUGACUAGAAUUCUCGGUGUAGCAGUGAAAUGCGUAGAUAUCGAGAGGAAUACCAAAGGCGUAGGCAGGUCACUGGACAGUUACUGACACUGAGGCACGAAGGCCAGGGGAGCGAACGGGAUUAGAUACCCUGGUAGUCC
RNAcentral lists this ribosomal RNA (449 nucleotides) under uncultured bacterium. RNAcentral describes it as "partial 16S ribosomal RNA". It matches the Rfam family "Bacterial small subunit ribosomal RNA", at positions 354 to 796 of the family's 1533-position model. The record is from RNAcentral.